Molecule: non-coding RNA, 72 nt
Organism: Parelaphostrongylus tenuis
Lineage: Eukaryota; Metazoa; Nematoda; Chromadorea; Rhabditida; Metastrongylidae
Source: the annotation of a GenBank genome assembly
UCCUCGGUAGUAUAGUGGUCACUAUCCGCGUCGGUCACACGCAACACCCGGGUGCAAUUCCCGGCCGGGGAG